GACGUAGGGCGCGAGCGUUGUCCGGAUUUAUUGGGCGUAAAGAGCUCGUAGGCGGCUUGUCGCGUCGACUGUGAAAACCCGCGGCUCAACCGUGUGGCGGGCAGUUGAUACGGGCAGGCUAGAGUUCGGUAGGGGAGACUGGAAUUCCUGGUGUAGCGGUGAAAUGCGCAGAUAUCAGGAAGAACACCUAUGGCGAAGGCAGCACUCUGGGACGGUACUGACGCUGAGACGCGAAAGCGUGGGGAGCGAACAGG
RNAcentral lists this ribosomal RNA (254 nucleotides) under uncultured bacterium. RNAcentral describes it as "partial 16S ribosomal RNA". It matches the Rfam family "Bacterial small subunit ribosomal RNA", at positions 524 to 776 of the family's 1533-position model. The record is from RNAcentral.